UACGUAGGGGGCAAGCGUUGUCCGGAAUCAUUGGGCGUAAAGAGCGCGUAGGCGGUCCGGUAAGUCGGUUGUGAAAACUGGGGGCUCAACCCUCAGAGGCCGACCGAUACUGUCGGGCUAGAGUCCGGAAGAGGCGAGUGGAAUUCCUGGUGUAGCGGUGAAAUGCGCAGAUAUCAGGAGGAACACCGGUGGCGAAGGCGGUUCUCUGGGCAUGAUCUGACGCUGAGGAGCGAAAGUGUGGGGAGCGAACAGG
This 253-nucleotide ribosomal RNA is filed under the name uncultured bacterium. RNAcentral's name for it is "partial 16S ribosomal RNA". It matches the Rfam family "Bacterial small subunit ribosomal RNA", at positions 524 to 776 of the family's 1533-position model. The record is from RNAcentral.